RNAcentral lists this long non-coding RNA (271 nucleotides) under Helianthus annuus (common sunflower). RNAcentral's name for it is "hypothetical non coding rna". The record is from RNAcentral. Lineage: Eukaryota; Viridiplantae; Streptophyta; Magnoliopsida; Asterales; Asteraceae.
GUUUGGUCUGGGCGUGCGAUCGAGAGAAGGAACCAAGGGAACCAAAACCCUAAACAACCAAAAAUCAUCAAAUUGAAAGGGGAAUCGAGGGCUGAUCGAAUGCAUGAGUCUAGAUACCCUUUAAUCUAAGUGUAUUGAUCAUAAGUGGUAUGGUGGAACGUGUCAAGGAGAGCUCAAGCAUAGGAGGAUAACGGGUCAAGAUAAGGCAAGGUGACAAAUACACUUAUUGGAAUACUCAAGGUGAUGAAUGUCGGACUUUCGAAGUGUUGAU